ACCUAUUGGAUGAUUAAAAUCUAAGGUUGGAUUUAUUCUCGUGAUUAUGCGUGCUUGUGUAAAAGAAAUAUCGAAUCUCUCUUGCCUAUACUAAGAAGUGUGAACAAAAAAAGAUAAGGAUAUCAAAGUAUGCCAGCCUGCUAGGGAAAUAGAAAUAGAUGCUUACGUUCACAAAACUUGGCGAUUUGAUUUGUGUAAAUUAUGCUUAUUAUUUUGAAGGCAUCGGUUAACACAAUGAAAUAUUUGGUUUUUGCACAUUUGUAAUGCUUUAGUGUUCUGCAGCUAAGAUUAUUUGUCAAUACAAUGGCUGGUCAUGUGUUUAGGGUUCAUUUGGCGUGGUUUUUGAAAAGUAAAAAAGUUGCCUUUAAGAUUAAGAAAAUGCUUUUGGACUUGUUUAAUAUCAUUCUGGGAGUGGCUUAAGGUGCAAUCCUACCUGAAACAGCAGCUGUCCCAACCAGGCCAUUGAUAUAAUUUAUUUGCCUUAACUUUACCCAAAUUUUAUCCAUGUCUUUUGCCCUUUUCUCAAGGGAGUUUUCAUAUUUCUUGAAAUCCGAC
This 555-nucleotide long non-coding RNA is filed under the name Olea europaea subsp. europaea. The record is from RNAcentral. Lineage: Eukaryota; Viridiplantae; Streptophyta; Magnoliopsida; Lamiales; Oleaceae.